GUGGAUGGCCAGGGCUGGAGUCUC
RNAcentral lists this non-coding RNA (24 nucleotides) under Cricetulus griseus (Chinese hamster). The record is from RNAcentral. Lineage: Eukaryota; Metazoa; Chordata; Mammalia; Rodentia; Cricetidae.